GACGAACGCUGGCGGCGUGCUUAACACAUGCAAGUCGAACGGAAAGGCCUCUUUCGGGGGGUACUCGAGUGGCGAACGGGUGAGUAACACGUGAGUAACCUGCCCUUGACUUUGGGAUAACUUCAGGAAACUGGGGCUAAUACCGGAUAGGAGCUCCUGCUGCAUGGUGGGGGUUGGAAAGUUUCGGCGGUUGGGGAUGGACUCGCGGCUUAUCGGCUUGUUGGUGGGGUAGUGGCUUACCAAGGCCUUGGCGGGUAGCCGGCCUGGGAGGGUGACCGGCCACAUUGGGACUGAGAUACGGCCCAGACUCCUACGGGAGGCAGCAGUGGGGAAUAUUGCACAAUGGGUGGAAGCCUGAUGCAGCAACGCCGUGUGCGGGAUGACGGCCUUCGGGUUGUAAACCGCUUUCGCUCAUGACGAAGCUUUGUGUGACGGUAGUGGGUAAAGAAGCACCGGCUAACUACGUG
RNAcentral lists this ribosomal RNA (467 nucleotides) under uncultured bacterium. RNAcentral describes it as "partial 16S ribosomal RNA". It matches the Rfam family "Bacterial small subunit ribosomal RNA", at positions 28 to 507 of the family's 1533-position model. The record is from RNAcentral.